AUGUGGCUUCAGAGCUGCCUCCCUCUGCCAGUUAGGGUUCGCUACUCAGAGACACUGCUCCUCGUGAGGAGAUCGGGUUGGGGGAUUUCAGGACGGCUCCGUCAGGAAGUUCUAGGAAGUUUUACUCUGGCCCAGGGAGCACCAGCAGUAUGUGUGGGGACCUGCAUGGUGGAGGGAGCAGAUGGUGAAGGAGUCCCUUGGGAGCACGGGGAGAGGAGGAACACACAACUGCCACCAGCAGAAGCAUCUGCCAGCCUGCAACCAGGUAACACCAUCCCGGGCACCGCCACGCUGAGGUUUUCCAGUAGAUGGAGACAUGGCGGAAGGUGGGAAGGAAGGGAAAGGAAGGGAGGUCAGAAGGAAAGCUCAAAAAAUGCAGCCUGCCAACAAACCCCUGUGACUGGUCUUCGGGUCUCGACCCCAGAUGCGCUGAUCCGGUAGCGCUGCAGGGGGCAGGUCCAGGCCAAAGCCCUCUGGAGGGACACGGGUGGGCUCAGCCUCUCCCUCAGCAUCUCACGGGCUGGGGCUGAGGCUAAUAAUGGUUUUAGGUCUGAGGAGAAGGUGGCCACCCUGUAAAUAGGAAAAGGCAGGCCGCUCGUCUGAAUGACUUCAUUAUUCCCCGGAGAUGCCCAUUCUGCCUCUAACAGACAGUUGCAAGGAAGCUGCUGGCUCUGGGGCUGGUGACACAGCGCAGCGGCACAAGGAUGAUGUACGCAGGCCUUUCCUUCCCUUGUCAUUUAUUGGAGCAUCUGGGAUCUCACUUCCUACAAAUCAAGACAAAAUCUGGAAAUCAGGUUUUGGUCCUGGCUGCAGCUCAUCAGAUCAGGAGAUGAGGAGGGCUGGAAGUGCCUGCUUGCAGCUGGCUGGGCUCUGCAACACCUGCAUCUCUCAGUGCUUUUUCAUUUAAUUCCCUAAAGCCUGUUAAGGUUGUUGUGGUUGGGACAGGCUGGUGUGGGGUCCCAGCAGCACCUUUCUAAAUUUUGGUGCCACACAGUUCCAGCUGACCCUCGCUGGACAUCUUCCCACUCUCCUUCAGUAGGGAUACUGGGUGUCACAAGAGCAGCAGAAUUAAGGAAUCUUUUUCCUUCCAAAUUUGCUAUGUUUUUCCUGGAAACUCUAAGAAACCCAGGGCUGGAGGGGAAGUAGCUGGUGAGCUGGAAAACAUUCAUUUUUCUCCCAAUCUUUCUUUCCCUGCUGCUCGAAACAGUGGGAGAACCCUUGAAAGAGUCUUGCCCCUUGUGUCCCCGACCCCCCAGCACACCCCUGUAAAUGUUUUCUAAAGAUGAGCCUUACCAGUGGUUGACAUGAGGUAAAGACCAAAAGAUAUGAGAAUCCAAGAGGUUGUAUCCCAGGCCUGCCACACACAAAGCUCUGGCUUUGUGCAGGUCUGCAUCUACUGCCUGGGUCAGUAGGGCAGGUAGCGUAACUACUCAGGUACUUC
This 1441-nucleotide long non-coding RNA is filed under the name Anser brachyrhynchus (Pink-footed goose). RNAcentral's name for it is "lncRNA (ENSABRG00000001799.1)". Lineage: Eukaryota; Metazoa; Chordata; Aves; Anseriformes; Anatidae. The record is from RNAcentral.